AAAUAAGAGAAGAAACA
Molecule: small RNA, 17 nt
Filed under: Arabidopsis thaliana (thale cress)
Lineage: Eukaryota; Viridiplantae; Streptophyta; Magnoliopsida; Brassicales; Brassicaceae
Description: ATSL060510
Source: RNAcentral